RNAcentral lists this transfer RNA (73 nucleotides) under Fomitopsis schrenkii. RNAcentral's name for it is "tRNA-Phe (GAA) (tRNA-Phe-GAA-3-1)". It matches the Rfam family "tRNA". From Rfam's summary of the family: Transfer RNA (tRNA) molecules are approximately 80 nucleotides in length. Their secondary structure includes four short double-helical elements and three loops (D, anti-codon, and T loops). Further hydrogen bonds mediate the characteristic L-shaped molecular structure. tRNAs have two regions of fundamental functional importance: the anti-codon, which is responsible for specific mRNA codon recognition, and the 3' end, to which the tRNAs corresponding amino acid is attached (by aminoacyl-tRNA synthetases). tRNAs cope with the degeneracy of the genetic code in two manners: having more than one tRNA (with a specific anti-codon) for a particular amino acid; and 'wobble' base-pairing, i.e. permitting non-standard base-pairing at the 3rd anti-codon position. The record is from RNAcentral. Lineage: Eukaryota; Fungi; Basidiomycota; Agaricomycetes; Polyporales; Fomitopsidaceae.
GCCGAGAUAGCUCAGUUGGGAGAGCAGCAGACUGAAGUUCUGAAGGCCGAGCGUUCAAUCCGCUCUCUUGGCA